This 10002-nucleotide long non-coding RNA is filed under the name Gossypium raimondii (Peruvian cotton). RNAcentral describes it as "long non-coding RNA (GRAI_LNC002712)". The stretch from base 7100 to 7186 matches the Rfam family "MIR7486 microRNA precursor family". Lineage: Eukaryota; Viridiplantae; Streptophyta; Magnoliopsida; Malvales; Malvaceae. The record is from RNAcentral.
CGCCCAUUCGUUUUCCAUCGUCUGUCUUGCGUGGCUCGGAACAUCGUCUUCCAGGUAAGAAGCUUCUCCAGAACUCAAACAUUCCUUUGCUAAAAGAUGGGCUAAUUGAUUUUCCGAGCGAUUGAUAUGUUGGAUUCGAGUGAAAGAAAACCUGUUCAUCUCCUGUUUAAUGUUGCGUAUAUAAGCGCUUAUUUCAGAUCUGUCAUGUAUGUUGGUGUUGCAUUUCUUUACUAUUGAAAGGGAGUCUCCCACUAUGAUUAUUUCUGAAAAACCCAUUUCUGAAUUUGUUUUUAUUGCCCAUAAACACGCGAGUGCUUCUGCUGCAAACGCGGUACCCACCUCAGCAUGCAGGAUCGUCCGUGAAAAUAAGACUUUUCCUUGAUUGCUUUUAGCAACAAUUCCCGUUUCCGAUCUGGAAUUCCCCUCAUCAAAGGCCGCGUCAAAAUUGAUUUUGAUUCUUCCUUCGCUUGGCGGUACCCAUCUCCUUACUCCUCUUCUGUUAGUGACUACCCUUUCUUCCCCAAUCUCUAGUUCUUUAAUGUAGCAAGAAAUAGAGUUGAUAGUCUCUCUGGUGUACCGACUCUUCCGUGCAACUUUUUAUUUCUUUCUAUCCACAGUCUCCACAGUGCCACACAGAGAACUCGUCUUCUAGGAGCGGAACAGCCGUUGAAAGCCCGGGUAAGCCAUUCAAAAAAUUCCUGGUCUGUCGCUAAUAUGAUAUCAUGAAAACCCAGUAACCCCCAUACCUCUUUUGAAGCAGGGCAGCCACGAAAGACUGGUCAACAUUCUCGACAUCAAUACUGCAUCUUGGACAUAAUAGAUUUGACACAAGUCGUUUAUAAUACAAAUUUGAAAAAAUAGGAAUAUAGUUCUUUGAAAUUCGCCAAAUUGUUUUAGCCAGGAGUUCUGAACUCCAAAGUUUCUUGUAGAAAUCUUUAGCUUUGGUUUGUAAUUCGUUUAAAGUAGGAGUAGGAUUACCAUUUUGUAAUAGUUUGUAGGCGCUCCGCACAGGGAAAUCCCCCGAAGGUUCCCCCCUCUAUAUCAACAUAUCCUCAUGAGGAGUACUGGCCAAAGGUAUUCGCAAAAUUCUGUCUGCAUCAGCACGCGAAAAGGUAUCCAGAAUUUGAUCCCUUCUCCAUUCUCUAGUCUUACUAUUAAUUAAGUCAACAACAAAAAGAUAGGUCUUAGUUCUGAUUUCAUUGCUUAACUUAUAAUUAAUUGAAUCGGGAAUCCAUGUAUGAUUAACAAUUGAAAUGUUCUCCCCUGUACCCACUCUCCAAUCGAUCCCCUCGCUUAACACCAUCUUCGCUGACCAAAUACUCUGCCAAGUAUACGAUGCCCCUGUCUUAAAACAACAUUUAAAAAAUUUGAACGAGGGUAAUAAUUAGCUUUUAAAACUUUUGCUACAAGCGAAUUCGUUUGGGUCAUAAGCCUCCAUGAAUCGCUUCUAUCCUGAACAAACGAGGCUCCAAAAAAAAACUCGUAAAUCUCCAAUCCUUUUCUCCUCAUCUCCUUUUAUUACUACAUGAACAUGGUUCAUUGAGAAACUACGUAAAGUGAUAGAUGCGUCCUCUUUCCAUGCCAAGUAUAAACUUUCUCGAGAACCAUUAGCCCCUACCUCAAUCCUAAGAAUGAACCCACAUUUUCUCUUUAUUGCUUCCAUUCUCCUACCAUUUAGUUUGGUCUCCAUAAAGAAAACCAAUUGGUUAUUAACGUCUUCAGUGCGUGUCAAAUAGACCUGUCCAUGGGCCGGGACGGGCUUGAAAAAAUUUUUGGCCCGCCUCCUAGGCCCAGGCUUGGCCCGGCCCGAAAUAUGGGCUUGAAAUUUUGCCCAGGCUCGGCUCGGGAAAAAUAUCAUAAGUCUGAGCUCGGCCCGGCCCGGCCUAUUUUUUAAUAAACAUUAAAAAAUUAUUUUAAAAAUAAAAAAAUAAAAAAAUUUUAGAAGUAUUUUAAAAUUAAAAAUUAAAAAAUAAAAAUAAAAAAUAUAUUUAUUAUAUUUGGGCUUGGCAGGGCCGGGUUCGGGCAAAAAAAGUGGUGCUUGAGGCCCGGCCUUAUUUUUAAACGGGCCUCGUUUUUUUGCCCAAGCCCAUAUUUCGGGCCUAUAUUUUUACUCAAACUCUCCCAUAUUUCGGGCGGGCCAGGCUGGGCCGUCCGGCUCAUGGACAGGUCUAGUGUCGAAGUCGUCUAAUAACCUGUGGGCUCCCCAACCCACGAAUGUUUCAACUUAGAAGGUUCAUUGUGUUCGGUCGGCUUGCCUUUUGGUAGCUGCGAUAAAUAGUUAGAUUUUAUGAUUACCCUUUCACCAUUUCCUUUUCCUGGCCCAAAAACUCUACGGGGAUCACCUUCCCCACGUGGCCUUUUUUCCCUCAGCCUCCCAAUAUUGUUCCUUCGAGUCAUGCUCCAUGUCUACUUUGCCAAAUACGCCUCUCAAUUCUUCUUCCAAAUUAAUCCUUGAAAUUGGGUUUAUCGAUUCUGCCAUUAUUCCUCCGUUCGUGUUACCUCCUCCUUUUAACCAAAAACUGUUCAUUGUAAGAGCCCUUUUCGAUUGGGCUUGUAUGGAUAGAUCCCAUCCCAUGUGGGCGACAUUUGUUUCAGACUCCAUCUUAAUUUGGGAGAAUGAAUCACUAUGACCCAAACACCAACAAUAGAAAUAGAAUAAUGUUAGUUCUUCGUUCUUAAAAUUGACAUAGGUGCAAAUACUUGAUGCAAACAUCAAUUUCUUUUUCCUUUUUAAUGGUUGUCGCACGUCAAUCAAUGCUCGGGUUCUCAUGUAACGAAUAAAACCUCGCCCUAGACUUUUUGUAUCAUAUUCCAUAAAAGCACCUACGAAAUCUCCUAAUUGUCUUGCUAAUUGCUCUGAGAAAAAACUUGGGGGUAACUCGUGGACUUGUACCCAGAAACAAACUAAUAAUAAAGGGACUUGUAGUGGGUUUUCCCUCGCUACCAUACGAUGUAACACCAAUAGAUGGUUGUUAAAAGUCCAUGGUGAUCCAUUUUGAACUCUUUCUAAAUCUAUCUUAUGAAAAAAUUUGAACAAAAAACGUUUUCCCCAGAUCUGAAAUCUGUACUCCUUUCACUACGUGCCAUAAAUUUGCCAUUGUGCUCUUCAUUAUUGGGAAGUGGAUUACACUUGUAGUAAGAAAACACCCAACUAAACACAGAUCAUAAACCUCUAUCGGUGCAUCUCUGUUGUUACUGAUCGUUAAGAUGUCAUCCUCAUCAUCUUCUAGCGUGAGGUUUGCUAUGUCGUUCUCCAUAUUUCUACCGCUGUUCUCCAUGUGAAAACACUUUGAAACCCUAAAAAAAACUUGCUACAAAAGCAAACAGAUGUGUGCUUUUUUUUAGUUUUGAAACCUUUUUAAUUUAAGGUUAUAACGAUAAAUUUAAUAGAUAAUAAAAAUUUUAUUUUAGAUAAAUUAGAAUUCAAAGGAAUAAUCAUGCUUAAGUAAUUCACUUGAAUUAUUAUAGUAACUCGAUAUCCAACAUCUUUCAAAAAGGACUUGAUAUGGAACAUUGUAUAUACAAUUUUGUGUUUAAAUUAUUUUCAACAAAAAUAAUCAAUAUAAGCAAUAAUAUAUAUUUGAAAUAGGUAACUAAAAAUUUGGGGGAAAUUACCAAUAAAAGCCUCUUUAUUUUCAAAAUUAUCGAAAUGGGUUAGGUCUUAAAUUAAUUACUAGAAUGGGCCAAUUUCCCCAAAAACGCAUCUAUGUCAGUGCGUUGUCAGGGGAUAAGGGGAUAAAGCAAGAAAAUGCUUCCUUAAGGAAGCGUUUUCCCCGUGUCUGCUACAAUACCAACGGUUUUUUUUUUUUACCUUUGGAAACCCCCAAUGGUAAAAAAAACUAUAAAACCCCCUUUUCAUUUUUUUCACACUUAAAUCCUUUCCAUUUUCAAUCUUUUAAUAUUUUCUGAAAUUUCUUUCAAAUUCCUCUUAAAUUCCUCUCAAAGCUCUCUUUAAAUUUUUUUUCAAAAAAGUUCUAAUUAUAUUUUUUUUUGAAUUUAUUUUUUUAAAUUAAAAAAAAUUGAUCGUGGUAGCAAUGACCGGAGAAUUAAUUUGUUUCGAUGAUAAACACAUAUUCGUCGAACAAAUGAAAAUGGCAAGUGUUAAAUUUAAUUUUUAAAUAUAAUUUAAGAGUUUUUUCAUUUAUGCAAUUUUAAAUAAUUUUUAUUUUAUUAUUUCUUAUAAAAGCCUAUAGAUCCGAUAUUGCAAUGUUAUAUUCGUAAUAUGUUUGGUCUUCUAUCACUGUUGAUAGAGAAUUACCUGCGGGAAGCGAGUCUUUGCCACGUGGCAACGAUAGGCUGGGGGUGCAAGUUGGACUUGAAACUUAUUAGUGCGUUGAUAGAGAGGUGGAGACUCGAGACGCACACAUUCCAUCUUCCAUAUGAAAAGUGUACUAUCACUUUGGAAGACAUGAAUUUGCAAUCUGGAUUACCGAUGGACGGGUACACAGGCACCGGGUUCGUUCAAUCUGGUGAUUAGGGAGCGGUAUGCUACGAGCUUUUGGUUGCUAUUCCGAAUAAUAUUAACGGAGGUCAGAACGAGAUGAGCUGGUUACGAUACAUAUUCCCGGAGCCGGAUGAUGAUUCUACCGAACUAGAAAGACUACGAUAUGCUCGGACAUACAUUCUUAAGAUAAUUGGAGGUUAUCUGAUGCCGGACUUGUCAAUAAACCUUGUACAUCUGAGAUGACUAUUGAAACUCGUUAAUUUUAGAGCAGUUGGUGAAUUUAGUUAGGGGUCUACCUUGUUGGCAAUAUUGUACCAGGAGAUUUGCGGGACGACGAGACCGAAUAAAGCGACAAUUGGAGGUUGCCUAUCACUACUGCAAUCAUGGGCACGGUUUCACUUUUCAUUUUUACAUUCUUGAGUGAACCACCUAUAUACAUUCCCACUUAUAACGAGGUUAAUUUUAUAUUAGAUUUUACAAUUAUUACGUAGAUUUAAAAUUUAAUUAUAUGCUAAAAAUUUAGUUAAUUAGGUGGAACCAUUCGGUAGGUUAUGUUGGAUUACCAAUCUCUUUUGAAGAUAUACGGCUUCUAUUAGACCAACGGUCGGAAGCACAAGUGUUAAUUAAAAUAGAUAUACAUAAUGAGAUAGUCGAUUUGUAUUUAGUAUUUAGUAUUAUGUAUAUAACUAAUAUUUUCAUCAUGUUCAUAUAGUUUUAAUGGACACCAUACGAGGAUCCGACAAUUCGGGCAGUAAUUCAGGAUGAAUACUUGUAAAAUUCGAACGCUUGGCUUGUGAAUGUUUUAUUGGUCAACUUUGCGAUCGUGGUGAUGCACCAGUUAGACAGAGUAUUACGGCAAUUUAGAUUCUAACAACCGAUUCUCGUGGCACCUGAGGUGUUAGAUAAUCAUCACAGAAUCGACUUAUGGCAAUUGCAUAUGACAAUUUCAUUUUAAUGGACACUUAGUAGGUAAUGUUGGAAAGAAAUGAAAUGGCAUCAACCUUGGUGAUAGCAGGUGAAAUUAAAUGAAAUGAUACGACAAUUUCAUUUUAAUGGACACUCAGCCAAUUUGUAUACAAUUGUCGUAAGUCGAUUCUAUGAUGAUCAUCCAACACCUCAGGUGACACGGGAAUCGGUUGUCGGAAUUCAAAUAGUCGUAAUACUCUGUCUGACUGGUGCAUCUUUACGAUUGUAAAGUUGACCAAUGGGACAUUCACAAGCUAAGCGUUCGGAUUUUGGAAGUAUUCAUUUGGAAUUACUGCCCGAAUUGCCGGAUCCUCGUAUGGUGUCUAUUGAAACUAUAUGAAAAUGAUGGAAAUAUUAGUUAUAUACAUAAUACUAAAUACGAAUCGAAUAUCUCAUUAUGUAUAUCUAUUUUAUUUAAUACUUGUGCUUCCGACCGUUGGUUUAGAAGCCGUAUAUCUUCAAAAGAGGUAGGUAAUCUAACAUAACUUGCCGAAUGGUUCCACCUAAUUAAAUAAAUUUUUAGCAUACGAUUAUAUAUUAAAUCUAUGUAAUAUUUGUAAAAUAUAAUAUAAAAUUUACCUCGUUAUGAGUGAGAAUGUAUAUUGGUGGUCCACUCGAUGACGUAAAAAUGGAAAGCGAAACUGUGCCCAUGAUUGCAGUAGUGAUAGGCAACCUCCGAUUUUCGCUUUAUUCGGUCGCGUCGCCCUGCACAUCUCCCGGUACAAUGUUGCCAACACGGUAGACCCUCAACUAAAUUCACCAGUUGCUCUAAAAUCAACGAGUUUCAGCAUCCAUCUCAGAUUUACAAGGUUUCGUGACAAGUCUGGCAUCAGAUAACCUCCAAUUAUCUUAAGAAUGUAUGUCCGAGCAUAUCGUAUUCUUUCUAUUUUGGUAGAAUCAUCAUCUGGCUCCGGGAAUGUGUCUCGUAACCAGCUAAUUUCGAUCCGACCUCCGUUAAUAUUAUUCGGAAUAGCACCCAAAAGCUCAUAGCAUAUCACUCCCCAAUCACCAGAUUAAACGGACCCGGUGACUGCGUACCCGUCCACCGACAAUCCCAAUUGUAAGUUCACGUCUUCCAAAGUGAUAGUACGCUCUCCACAAAGAAGAUGAAAUGUGUGCGUAUCGGGUCUCCACCUCUCUAUCAGUGCACUAAUGAGUUACGGGUUCAACUUGCACCCCCGACCUAUCGUCGCCAUGUGCCAAAAAUUUGCUUCUCGCAGGUAAUCCUCUAUCAACGGUGGAGGACCAGGCAUAUUAUGGAUAUAGGAUUACAAUAUCCGAUCUAUAGACUUUUAUAAGAAAUAAUAAAAUAAAAAUUAUUUAAAAAUUACAUAUAUUAAAAAAAUCUUAAAUAAUAUUUAAAAAUUAAAUUUAACACUUACCAUUUUCAUUUCUUUGACAGAUAUGUGUUUAUCAUCGAGACGAAUUAAUUCUCCGGUCAUUGCUAACACGAUCAAAUUUUUUUGAUUUAAAAAAUAAAUUCAAAUAAAAUAAAAUUAGAGCUUUUCUGAAAAAAAUUAAUGAGAGCUUUAAGAGGAAUUUGAGAGAAUAUUGAAAGAUUGAAGAUGGAAAGAAUUUAAGUGUGAAAAAAUGAAAGGAGGGUUUUAUAAUUUUUUUUGACCGUUGGGAGGUUACCAACGGUAAAAAAAGUAGCCAUUGGUACUAUAGCAGACACAGGGAAAACGCUUCCUCAAGGCAGCGCUUUGUCCACGUGGACACAAAGCGCGCCCUCAAGGAUAUGUUUUCUGUCCACGUGGACAAAGCGUUUCCUUGAGGAAGCGUUUUCCUAUUUUAUCCCCUGACAACAUGCUGACGUGGACGCGUUAUGGGGGAAAUUAGCCCAUUCCGGUAAUUAAUUUAGGACCUGACCUAUUUCGGUAAUUUUGAAAAUAAAGGGACUUUUAUUGGUAAUUUCCCCAAAAAUUUAAAAUAUAUAAAAAGUUUAUAUACUAAAAAUAGCUAAAUUGAUCUUUUUCACUAAAAAAAUAUUAUAUAUUUUAAAAAGGUAAUUGUUAUAUAAUUAUAAUUAUAAUUAAAAUAACCCGUGUCACACUUUGAAAUUUGGCCUAUAAGUUUUAUGGGUAAGUUAGGAAUUUUGGCUUAGAAAUUUUGAAUUGUGGUACCUUGAAACUGUUUUCGUCUAUGGCUUUUUGAAAAUUAAAACAAUUUUUGAAAAUAAUAUUGAAAAGGCUUUCAAUGUUAAAAUAAGCACUGUUUUGUAUAAGGGUUUAACUUAGGAGUAGUUAAAAUUUUUUUUUACCAAAUUCUUAAAAAUACCCUAUUUCCCCUUCCAUUUUUAUAAAACCCACGAUAGUUUCUUCCCCAUACUUUUGUUGCUGUUCAUUAUUCUUCCCAAGCUUCUCCUUCUCAAUUUUAUUUUACAAACUUUAUUCUUUUAAUUUCUAUCAUCAACCAAGCCAUAGAUCUCCAUAGAAUUUCAAGAAAAACACUCAAAACACAUUUGAUUUUAUCAUCUCCCAAACUUGUGGGUUUUUCGAGUUUUCAACUAAAAGCUCGUUUCUCUUCCAUUGAAGGUAACAAUUUGAUUUCUUAUUAGUUUUUAAUGUUAUUUGGUCUUUUAAAUUGAUUUUUUAGCCAUUAAAUUAUAAGUUUUGAAUAAAAGUUGAAAAUUGGGUCGUUAAUGGUGGAUUUCGAGAUUUUUGGGUAAAAACAUGGUUUCAAAGUAUUUUUCAAAUAGUUUUGAUGAUAUUAGAAGGUUUCUCAACUCAAUUUAAAGUUUUAUUAAUUAUUCUAAGGAUUUAAUUAAUUUUCGUAGUUUAAAGGUUGAAAAUCAGUUGUAGGCGAAUAAAUUAGAUAAAUGGAAUCAGUUUUAGGCAAAAAGAUUAAAUAUAUAACGUGAUAAUUGAGUGUAAAGUUUGCUAUGUUGAAUGUUUCGAUUAUAAGAGAAUUUAGCUUAGGCUUUUGUUUAAAAUAUUUGAAGUGAGUCUUUGGCUGAUUGUUGAUUAUGUUGUGUGAUUUACCUUGUUGAAGCUUCGAAAUUGUUAGGACAUUCAGCAGGUAAAGAUAAAGGUAAGGAAAAGUUAGUUUAAACUUUCGGUGAUUAGGCGAAAACGCGAACAAUGAGUGUUUGAAAUCACUACUUGUAGACACGAUUCAUAGUGUUAAUUGAGAGCUUAGAAAUAGCCUAAACCCUUAUCCUAAGUUCCGAGUGUAAGCUUUCUAUUCCUUUUGGUUUAUUUUGACAAAACGUGUGAUUAUGUGAAUAGUUGUGGAUUGUGUAUUAUGAUGCGAUAUUGUGACAUGAGAUAUUUGUGAUGGCUAUUGUGAAUUGUGUUGUGUUGUGGGCAUGAUAUCCAUGCCAAAUAAUAGGGAUGAUAAUAUGCUAAUAAUGCAAAUAUACAAUGGAAGUGAGCGAUAUUUAGGUAAGUACAUAUGUGUUGAAUUGUAAAGUGAUAUUAUUAUGAAAGGUAAUACGUGCGAACAAUUGUAUGUGAUAUAUGAUGUAUUGAUAUUAAUACACAUAUGUGGUCGAAUAUGGGAUGACUCAAUGUGUAUUAUUGUGGGACUUAAAAGUGCUAUUAAAUGUGAGUUUGAUAAGCAUGCAAUGUGUAUAAGCUUGUGAUGUAAAUUGAUGAAUUUGAAUAGAGAUGAUGUGCAUUAAAUCAAUAAUUAAAAUUGUGUAAUUCUGGAUAUUUUGGCCUUGUGAUUUUUUGAAACUGUUAGAUAUAGUUGGCAUGCCAUACGGUUGUGAGUACUCACUCUUGUAUUGUGAUUUGGGCAUUGAGGCCUUGGGACAGUUUGAAGAGAUAAGGGAAUGUGAGCCAAGCUCCAUUCACUAGGAUAUGUUGGUGUGUUGGAAAGUGUUAGCUAAAUGCUACGCUUUUGAGAUAUGUUCGACUUUACGAGUUAUUUAGUGUAUUGGAGAUCCGUGUAUUUGAUGUGUAGUGAUAGGGCUUUUAUUUUCAUAGCCCCAAGUGCCAAAUUAUCAUUUAAAUGUGAUAUUAUAUAUUGUGAUACUACGAUGUGAGACGAAUGCAUAAACAUGUAAGUAAUAUAUUAAAUGAGUUGAUUUAAGUUUCAUGAAAAUGUUAGUAUGUUCUUAUGGUAAAUUGUGUAUGUAAUUGUAAUUUGGGUCAUUUUCAUUUAACUUGUGAAUGCAUAUGAAUAUAUCAGCUAGACUUGUGAGUUAUUAAAGUAUUUAUCCAUUGUUAGUCUUGAUGAAUUAUUGUAAAAUUAAUUAUUUGAACAUGAGUUGAGUGUAGUUAUAUAUGAGAGUAUAUGCUAGUUUUAUGAUUUAAUGAAGCGUGAAUAUGUUAUUGUGACUUGUUUAGAAUAUGAUGAAUUAUUGAUGAAUUAUUGUUAACCUUUGGUGUUGUGUAUACAUUACGGUUGUUUCGACAUUCACUGAGCUUGAUUAAGUUCACUCACUUUUUUUAAAAUCAUUGCAGAUGUUUUAGCGUUUGCGAUGUGAGUGGUGUGGGUAUACCAAGGAAGUGAUCCAAGUUAGGCUUUAGUUUUUGUGUAGGUGAUAUUAUUAUUCUUUGAACCGUGGGAAUAAGGCAAUGUGGUAGAUUUUUAGUUGAUCAAUGCCAUGAUGUUUUGGAUGUUUACAUGACUUUAUUGCUCUUAAG